Non-coding RNA from Glycine soja, 111 nucleotides. Lineage: Eukaryota; Viridiplantae; Streptophyta; Magnoliopsida; Fabales; Fabaceae. The record is from Rfam.
UUGUGAUUGAACGUUGAUUGUCACAUGUCAUGUUUUAAUUGGACGUUGACAACAACAAUACAUUUUCAUUAUCCAAUCAAAAUGUGACUGUUAAAGUUACAACCAACGUCA